Molecule: long non-coding RNA, 250 nt
Filed under: Mytilus galloprovincialis (Mediterranean mussel)
Lineage: Eukaryota; Metazoa; Mollusca; Bivalvia; Mytilida; Mytilidae
Source: RNAcentral
UUUGUGAACUUUGCCAUUUCCCGUGUACUACUAUUUAAUUUUUAUGCGACAAUUCUUGACUUAUAAAGAUAUUUUUCGCUGGAAUUUACUGAUUAUCAAAGUUAUGUGAUUCGCUAUGGUGGAGUUGACCUGCAGUGCGUCGAAUAAAACGUCUCUCAGUCAUUUUGAAAUUCAAAUUACAGUAACACAUUGCGUAGGCUGAGGAUGAUAAUCAUGACACCUUCAAAGCAACACAGGAUUUAGCAAGAAC